This 1018-nucleotide ribosomal RNA is filed under the name Tetracladium globosum. RNAcentral's name for it is "SSU rRNA". It matches the Rfam family "Eukaryotic small subunit ribosomal RNA", at positions 78 to 1104 of the family's 1831-position model. The record is from RNAcentral. Lineage: Eukaryota; Fungi; Ascomycota; Leotiomycetes; Helotiales.
ACUGUGAAACUGCGAAUGGCUCAUUAAAUCAGUUAUCGUUUAUUUGAUAGUACCUUACUACUUGGAUAACCGUGGUAAUUCUAGAGCUAAUACAUGCUAAAAACCCCGACUUUUGGAGGGGUGUAUUUAUUAGAUAAAAAACCAAUGCCCUUCGGGGCUCCUUGGUGAUUCAUAAUAACUUAACGAAUCGCAUGGCCUUGUGCCGGCGAUGGUUCAUUCAAAUUUCUGCCCUAUCAACUUUCGAUGGUUAGGUCUUGGCUAACCAUGGUUUCAACGGGUAACGGGGAAUUAGGGUUCUAUUCCGGAGAGUGAGCCUGAGAAACGGCUAACACAUCCAAGGAAGGCAGCAGGCGCGCAAAUUACCCAAUCCCGACACGGGGAGGUAGUGACAAUAAAUACUGAUCCAGGGCUCUUUUGGGUCUUGGAAUUGGAAUGAGUACAAUUUAAAUCCCUUAACGAGGAACAAUUGGAGGGCAAGUCUGGUGCCAGCAGCCGCGGUAAUUCCAGCUCCAAUAGCGUAUAUUAAAGUUGUUGCAGUUAAAAAGCUCGUAGUUGAACCUUGGGUUUGGCUGGUCGGUCCGCCUCACCGCGUGUACUGGUCCGGCCGAAUCUUUCCUUCUGGGGAAUCGCAUGCCCUUCACUGGGUGUGUCGAGGAUCCAGGACUUUUACUUUGAAAAAAUUAGAGUGUUCAAAGCAGGCCUAUGCUCGAAUACAUUAGCAUGGAAUAAUAGAAUAGGACGUGUGGUUCUAUUUUGUUGGUUUCUAGGACCGCCGUAAUGAUUAAUAGGGAUAGUCGGGGGCAUCAGUAUUCAAUUGUCAGAGGUGAAAUUCUUGGAUUUAUUGAAGACUAACUACUGCGAAAGCAUUUGCCAAGGAUGUUUUCAUUAAUCAGUGAACGAAAGUUAGGGGAUCGAAGACGAUCAGAUACCGUCGUAGUCUUAACCAUAAACUAUGCCGACUAGGGAUCGGGCGAUGUUACUUUUUUGACUCGCUCGGCACCUUACGAGAAAUCAAAGU